GUCACAAUGCCCCCAGACCCCCAUUAGCACCUUUGGACUAAGUACUGCCCUCACCACAUUCCUCUUUUAAAAGACCAUGAGACAUAAGAUAGUAAUAAUAAAGGCUACACUCUGUCCCUGGGGUGAAUUAGUCAGACUCAGCUUCCCUGAAGAGAGGUGCCUGGGGUAGCCAGGGAACUGCGGGUCAGCGGCGGGGACAGAGGGCACGCGAAGGGGCCCUCUGAUUGGACCUAGGGAUACAGAGAUAACUAAACCAAGGCCAGAGGCAGCCCUGGAAGUGGAGGAGGGCUUGUCGUUUGGAGUUUAAACAGUGACCUUUGAACUGAUGGCUGUGCAGCAACACCAGAGUGCACCAAGCCAGGCCAUGCGGCAGCCGUGGAACUUCCAAAUCUCCAGGGAUGCCCAGUGUUGCCUGAGCCCACCUUCUGACUCCUCUUUCUGACUCCCCUUGGCUUUGGAACCCUUCUGGGAACUGCCAUAUGUGGAGGCUUAGCGAUGACCAACCAGGUGGGAAGAGAAACACGGAAUCUCUCAGCACAGAAGCCAUUUUCAGAAAUGUUUUCCAACUAAAGCAACAUUAAAAAGGAGUCAUUGUUCACAAAA
Suricata suricatta (meerkat) is the source of this 603-nucleotide long non-coding RNA. RefSeq lists it as uncharacterized. The transcript has 3 exons. The record is from RefSeq and is a predicted model, not a curated record. Lineage: Eukaryota; Metazoa; Chordata; Mammalia; Carnivora; Herpestidae.